AGUCAUGGAGGUGGUGACAUGGAUGGCAGCACCAGAAAAAAGAAAAGAGAAAGGGAAAGAAUAAAGUGGCCAAGGCAGAGCUUCGCCUAUAAAAUAGGAUUGUGAAGGAAAAGGUCUCGAGUCAGUCUCUCAACAAAUGGUAAGGUUUGGCAUAGACGAUGGACGUACUAGCUACAACAAAGAGGAUAGGUGACUAAAGGAGGAGGUCUGAUCAAUGUCAGAUCUCCAAAAUAGGAAAAAGGAAUGGGGAGCUUUGUCUUGAAAUAGGACUAUCCUACUAUGCUCAAAAUUGACCACUACUUUUGUGAUGAGAUUGAGCAAGCACACCCACAUCUUGGUCUCAGUAGGUAUGAGAGGAGAGGGGACAGUGCUCCAGAAGGAUCAUCAAACACGAUAUGAACCAAUUUGACCACUAAGAGUAAGAUCAAACAAGG
This 434-nucleotide long non-coding RNA is filed under the name Elaeis guineensis (African oil palm). RNAcentral describes it as "long non-coding RNA (EGUI_LNC022762)". The record is from RNAcentral. Lineage: Eukaryota; Viridiplantae; Streptophyta; Magnoliopsida; Arecales; Arecaceae.